RNAcentral lists this ribosomal RNA (704 nucleotides) under Leucophytia bidentata (two-toothed white snail). RNAcentral's name for it is "Auriculinella bidentata (two-toothed white snail) 12S ribosomal RNA". Lineage: Eukaryota; Metazoa; Mollusca; Gastropoda; Ellobiida; Ellobiidae. The record is from RNAcentral.
UUACUUUGCUCUAAUAGAAACUUUGGAACUCGCUAAGCUAUGAAAUGGCAGCUCUGCACACUUUGCCAGCAAGAGGCAUUGACCUAUAUUAGACAUAAUAAGUUAGCUUUGCAAGGGCGGUGGGGCUAACUCAGGUGCCAGCAGCCGCGGUCAUACCUGGGCACCUUCAAAGACACACCGGAGGGCUUAUUCGUUUUUUUAGCUUAAACUCGGUGAAAUGUGUUAAGCUUUCCCUCUCUUUACGAAGUUGAGCGCCGAAACUCAAACACUAAACUAGGAUUAGAUACCCCACUAUAGUUGAGCUUUAAUUUUUUACACUCCGUAGCAGUAAGGUUAAUGUUAACUAAAACUUAAAGAGCAUGGCGGCGGCUCAAAAUUUCAGGGGAAUUUGCCCAAUAAUUGAUAAUCCUCAAGAGAUACAACGUGCCCUUACGUUUGUAUACCGCCGUCUGCAGGUGUUAUUUAAAAUAAUACCUUUAACACGAGAAGACAGGCCAUGGCACAGCUUAUGGGCACGUCAGGGUGAGUUACAGUUAAUCUUUUUUUCGGAGCAGCGGUUAAAGACUCUGCAAAAGCAGGACUUGAAAGUAAUUUUUAAAAAAGUAAAACUUGAAUUUUUUUUUGUGCCGUGCACAAAUCGCCCGUCACUCUCGUUGAAAAAGGAGAUAAGUCGUAACACAGUAGGGGUAGCGGAAGCUGCCCCU